UGCGACUGAUGGGUGGAGAAAGGUGAGCGGAGUGACGAGCGUUACCGGAGCGACGAGGGAAUAUUCCCGAGACAAAUUAUACAGAUUAGAUUCAACCUCCGGAGAUCCAGGAUGAUCUCCCCAACACCGGAACCUUCACCUGAAGGAAUCAAUCACAACCAACCUAAGAUCCUAAAAGGUGAAACGUCCACGCGUCCUUUUUCUUUUUUUUUUAAGAUGCAGCUAAGCGCGAGCACGCACGGAGGAGCUGCGCGCACUGCGGGCUGGAGAUGUGCCACUCUGCGCGUCUAUGGCGCCGAACUGCGUUCACGGCAGCGAGGAGAGAAAGGCGACGUGACAAAUGCCCGUCAUCACCCACGGCGCGUGGAAGCCGGGGGAGGGGGGCUCUGAAAGCCCACGGAUGCAGUUCGUUCACGGAAGGCCUUUCCUUGUAUGUUCACAUCACCUGGACCCCCUGGAAAAAAUGGAUGCAGUGAGGCCGGAAGCAGCUCACAUCUGCUGCAGCUGCUCACUUUUUGGACCAAACGGAUGAAAGAAAUAAAACCAAACUCAACUGAAUCACGAAUCUAGUUAUGCGCCGGGAGGUGAAAGUACAGCACAAUAAAAGUGGAUCACUGGUGUUGGUAAAAGUGCAGCAGACCCUUAACCUCACCCCAAUCUCUGAUAACUCACACAUUCAAGCCUUAAAUGAUCCUUUAACAAGUUCACACGCUUACAACUUUAGUUAGAAAUUUUACUCUGAAACACCAACAUUUAAAAUAAAAUCACAAUUUAAUGAUUUAUUUCUUUUAUUGAGCACCACGGCACAUAUUUCCAGCUCAAGCGCGCCAUCUAGCUGCACACUUUGGUACACACGUUGUAGGCAUAGAAACAAUAAAGGAUGGAUAUUGUUUUAAUCUUGUGAGAAAAUCAUUAAAAUAAGUGUAAAUGCCAAUAAAAAGAAACAAUAUUUUUACUCUAAAAUAUAUUUAAAUAAUAUAAAUUGUUAACGAUUGGAAAUGCCUAAGAUUAUGUAAUCAAAACAUUUUUCCAAUAAAAAUUCCUUAUAAAAAGAAAAUAAUUGAAAUGUUAACAUAAAAAAAUUAGACCAAGCUACAACUUGAGAAUAUAAAAAAAGAACAAACAUCAUUUAUUUUAAAAAUUAUUUUAUUUAUUAAUAUAGUGGUAUACUUAAGAUUGUGUUGGAGAGGAGAAAAUAAAGUCAGCCACACGUGAAGAGCUAAUUUCCAUUUAAAGCUGUGUUAUAUCUAAAAAGUACUGGUGUGCCAUAUGUAAUAUAUUGUCUAUUAGUACAAAAAUACAUUUAAAGGGCACACCAUAUAGCAUCCAUUAUCCCAAACCGUGAGGAGGACACUUUCAGAGCGCACCCUUUCAAAAGAACACGUAAUGCAUUUUAGUUUGAGCACUUUUCCUGAUGUUCAAAUCAAUCACAAAAACAGUACUUUUCAGCAACCAUAACAUCAUGUCAGAAAGUGGUAAAAAAAAAAAAAA
Non-coding RNA from Oryzias latipes (Japanese medaka), 1491 nucleotides. The record is from RefSeq and is a predicted model, not a curated record. NCBI's taxonomy places the organism in Eukaryota, Metazoa, Chordata, Actinopteri, Beloniformes, Adrianichthyidae.